GACGGACGCUGGCGGCGUGCUUAACACAUGCAAGUCGAACGGAAAGGCCCUGCUUUUGUGGGGUGCUCGAGUGGCGAACGGGUGAGUAACACGUGAGUAACCUGCCCUUGACUUUGGGAUAACUUCAGGAAACUGGGGCUAAUACCGGAUAGGAGCUCCUGCUGCAUGGUGGGGGUUGGAAAGUUUCGGCGGUUGGGGAUGGACUCGCGGCUUAUCAGCUUGUUGGUGGGGUAGUGGCUUACCAAGGCUUUGACGGGUAGCCGGCUUGAGAGGGUGACCGGCCACAUUGGGACUGAGAUACGGCCCAGACUCCUACGGGAGGCAGCAGUGGGGAAUAUUGCACAAUGGGCGGAAGCCUGAUGCAGCAACGCCGCGUGCGGGAUGACGGCCUUCGGGUUGUAAACCGCUUUCGCCAGUGACGAAGCGUGAGUGACGGUAAUGGGUAAAGAAGCACCGGCUAACUACGUG
This 468-nucleotide ribosomal RNA is filed under the name uncultured bacterium. RNAcentral's name for it is "partial 16S ribosomal RNA". It matches the Rfam family "Bacterial small subunit ribosomal RNA", at positions 28 to 507 of the family's 1533-position model. The record is from RNAcentral.